Molecule: small nuclear RNA, 164 nt
Filed under: Nannospalax galili (Upper Galilee mountains blind mole rat)
Lineage: Eukaryota; Metazoa; Chordata; Mammalia; Rodentia; Spalacidae
Description: U1 spliceosomal RNA (ENSNGAG00000003286.1)
Rfam family: U1 spliceosomal RNA
About the family: U1 is a small nuclear RNA (snRNA) component of the spliceosome (involved in pre-mRNA splicing). Its 5' end forms complementary base pairs with the 5' splice junction, thus defining the 5' donor site of an intron. There are significant differences in sequence and secondary structure between metazoan and yeast U1 snRNAs, the latter being much longer (568 nucleotides as compared to 164 nucleotides in human).
Source: Rfam by way of RNAcentral
AUACUUACCUGGCAGGGGAGAUACCAUGCUCACAAUGGUGGUUUUCCCAGGGCAAGGCUUAUCCAUUGCUCUCCGGAUGUGCUGACCUCUGCGAUUUUCCCAAAUGUGGGAAUCUCAACUGCAUAAUUUGUGGUAGUGGGGAACUGCGUUCACGCUCUCCCCUG